GAGAGAAUUUUAAUAUUUAUUUUUUAGUUUUCAGCGGACUUUGUUUGUAUGUGGUGCUGAGGAUCGAACCCGGACUGCACGCAUGCCAGGCGAGUGCGCUACUGCUUGAGCCACAUCCCCAGCCCCAGGGUCCGUCCUAUUACCAGGCAAUUUCCUUUCUCAUUUCUGGUCAUAGGUAAGGACAGAAACACAACCAACAGAUCACAUUUAGUAUCAACUCUGUUUCUGCCACCUCUCUGAAUCUGAAAAUCUAUCAGUUCCGAGUCAGUAAACUCAGAACUGAUAGAUUACCCUCCACACCAAAGGGGACUAACAGUUGUAGCUCUCCAAACUAGAAGCAAAGUAUACCUUUUAAACAUAUGUAGGAGUCUCUAGGGGAUGAUACAGACAGAGGAUGUCUUUAAGUAAUCAAUGUUUAAAGAAAGAGUACUCUUGAAUCAACUUGUCUACCUUUCAAGGGGGCUAAGAAAGUUGGUGUUGGCAGGGGGGAGGUAGAGAGAAAAGUUGGGGCUUUUAAAUUCUAAUCAACCAUUCCAAUUCAUCAUAGGGGGCUGGGGCUCUAGCUCAGUGGCAGAGCGCUUGCCUUGCAUUUGAGAGGUGCUGAGAAUCAAACCCAGCCGGAUUCCAUCCUCAGCACCACAUAAAAAUAAACAAAAUAAAGGCAUGCUGUCCAUCUACAUCUACAAAAAACAAACAAACAAACAAAAAAACUCAUCAUACUGACUCUGAGGGGAAUGUAAGGGAGCUAUGAAAUUCAAAGAGGAGUUAGCAUGGGCAGAACACACAAAAACCUCUUUCCAAAACACAAGUAUUACCUGAGUUAUACUUUGCUUGUUCAAAUUAAUCUUUCUCUUUUCCAAGUUUGAUCCUAGUGACUUCAUAGACAUCAUACUCUUAUGUGUGGGAAAACACUACACGCAGAGGAAUAAAAGCUCUUAAGUCCAGUUUUCUGGGUUUGUUUUCCGAUUCUACUUAAUGGCUAUGAAACUUUGAGCAAAUUGCUAAAUAUAUGUGUACAUUUGUUUCCUCAUCUGUAUAAUGGGAUAACAGCUUUAUAAGCAACUACUGCAUAAGGUUGUAAAGAUUAAAUGAGAUAAUAUUUGUAUCAUUAUUAAAUUUCUUUGGAACUCAUUUAAAUAAGUAUUUGAUAUAGACUACAUGCUCAAUAAAUAUUGAGCUACUAAUCAGUAUCAAUAAGACAUGAAGAAUUUCUUUACAUCUCUGAGCCUUACUUUCCUCCACUAGAAAAAUGAAAGAAAAAAAUACUAUCCUCAUAGAAUAGGCUAUGGGGAUUAAAUGAAAGAUGUAUUUAGCAUAAAGAUGUAGUAGCUAGUUGUUAUUAAAUAAUGGCCCUGCUUUUUUUGCGUCCAGAAAAGAUUUAAGUUAAUAUAUUAAAGAAUAGCUCAAUGUUAGUUAUCAAUAAUAUUCUACACACAACACACACAAAUUUUUUUUAAAAAAAUUUUGUACUAGGGAUUGAACCCAGUACAAAAUUAACCACUUAACCACUGAGUCAUACCCCUAGCCCUUUUUUAUGUUUUAUUUAGAGAUAGGGUCUUGCUGAAUUGCUUAGGGCCUCGCUAAAUAGCUGAGGUUGGCUCUGAAAAAGGUAUAAAGAAAAAGAAAAAAACAAAAAGGUUAAAGAAGAUUAUGACAGAGGUAAGAAUUCAAAGUCCCAAAG
Molecule: long non-coding RNA, 1681 nt
Filed under: Marmota monax (woodchuck)
Lineage: Eukaryota; Metazoa; Chordata; Mammalia; Rodentia; Sciuridae
Source: RNAcentral